CUUUCAGGUUGUCUGCACAAUUACCUCCAAACCCUUGCUAACACCCCCUGGACAAAUGAAUGGUCUCCCAAGGCUACACAAUGGGAACAUUCAAGUUCAACAGCUGUACAAGCCAGGUAGCUUCUCCACAGUGUUUUUGCUCCAAAGUAUGUCAGUGCAAAUUGUUAGCUACCAAUGUCAAUAAUUCUGCUGUUUAAGAAAUGAUGGUCAUGAAAUGUUCUUCCAUCUCAGCAGAGGUGGAUGAUCUAAUUUAUGCAGACAGGAAAAUAAGAGGUCCCGGUCAAAACAUUAGACCACAAACACCAACAAUACUGACUGAGUGAGUAAAGAUAUACCGACUUAAUGUUACAAUCGUCAGUUAAUCCAAAACUUUCCAUCAAUGAAAUUGCUGCUGCAAAGACACGUGAACUUUGAUAUUUGCUGUUGUUUUGUUCCCUCUGUAAGGACAACAGAGAGUCUGAAAGCAUUCAUCCAUAAUCUCCAGCAGUUUUGGUUUUCCCUCUCAAAUGGGAUCCUUUAGAAUCACAGCUUUGGUUGUUUCCUCAUCCCUGACCCUCACAGUAACCAUAACCUUCUAUAUUUGUACAUGUCUUUGGCAGCAGAGUCCAGUAUCAGUAUCUAGGUUGAACUACAUUGUUCUGUGAAUGGAUGACACACUGAGUAAAGUGCUGGUCUACAGAGUUGCUGUCCUGCAGGUUCUGCAGGUUCCUUUUGUUUCAGUUUCAAGACUUGCCCUCAUUUUUAGAUGGAAAGUUAUUUUCUGACUCUCUUUGGUAUGCACAUAUGUUAAGCAUAUAACAGAGAAGUCAGGAAAAUAGUCAUGGUUAUCACUUGGGGUGAUUGUCGUUGCUGAUUUUAAUAUAGGAAAUAUACCUAUUCCAAUCUCACUGAGAUGUUCAGGUCUGUAGACAUUAAAUUAUGACACAACUUUAAGACCCAUCAUCUCAUUUCUUAGAUCAGUCCACAGCUUCUUAAAAUACAUUCAACCUUUGACCCAUUUCCUCCUUCUCCAACCUCCACAUUAUCCUCCAACCACCUUCGUAAAAUCUCUAUCUUCAAUGACAGAUAGCGAGGUGAAAGAGUGAGUUUGGUAUGAACUUUUCCUUUCUGUGGUAUUUUACAUUGAAGCUACAAGUUCCAAGUUCAAUUGUAAACCUUGCUCUAAGUUGGUGUGAGAUUCUGUAAAACAGUGGUAGGAUGGUAAAGUUUUGAACCAGAAUACAUCACUAAAACACAUAUGAUGACCUUUACUGCUGCUUUCAUUUUAUGUGAGUGGAGCAAAUAUCAUUAUCAUUACAAUAGAGUACUGCUAGGAUAAUGUGUCUGCAAUUUCACCUGUCUGUAGUUCUGUCAUUAUUAACCCUUUGUCAUAUUUUACUUACCUUUACUUUGCAGUGAGUUGUCAGUGGGCAUUAACAGCAGGUAUCUCCUCUGUCCAUCUCUCUCUUUCUUCAUCUCUCUCUAUCAGUGGCUGAAUCUCAAUCUCCUCCCUGAACCCUGAGCCCUGAGUCCCCAUUGACUUAAGGGACUGCACCCAGAAAGUGAUUGAGUGAAUGAGGCGGCAAGGGCUUGAGGUACUAUGAAUAGGAAUGGGACAGCCUUUUGUUGAAAGCAAUGCAUCAUGCUACUCAAAAUUGCAGCUUUGUGGCUUUUUAUUUUACCUUUUUUGCUUUACUAAACUGCAUUUUAGUCGAGUCAGAAAAAUAGCAUUAAACAAUGAUCUACUCCCACAUAGGCAUUGAUAAGCUUGACAAGAAAUAAAACAAAUAUACCUUUCCUACAUGGCUAUUUCCUUUGUUGAUUAAGGCUGUUUUCAUAUAUAAUAUAUAAUAUACCUACACAAGAUCUUCUUUUUUGGAGCGUCAAUACUGAUAACACCCUCCAUGUUUUUUGUUUGUUAUUUUGCUCAGUUCACUUCCAUUUUAUAGCAGCUGUCAUCUGGUUGCCCCGGGAGAUUCCUUUCAAACUUCACAAUGCAAUGAACUAUGGUUGAUUAACUUACACAAAGUCUGCAGAUAUGCCCACUCACAGGAAGGGUGCAUAAAGGGGCUCAAAAAGUCAGCAAGAGAUCCCUCAAACACUUUGUGAUUAGACAGUGGGACAGCCCUAAACCCUCACGGAGUGUGGACAUUGGGAUUGGGCCAGUGUCUCCUCUGUCCAUCUCUCUCCUCUGUCCAUCUCCCUCUCUUCCCUCUCUAAACCCAGCUCAGUCUCAGCAGAUGACUGUCUAACAUCAGUCCGGUCCUGCUGAAGGUUUCUGCCUGUUAAAGGAAGUUCUUCCUCUCCACUGUAACUUGAUAAAUGCUACAAAGUCUGGUGAAACCAAAUUACAGCUGAAGUUACAAACCAACAUUUUUCAACCUAUGGUUUAGUGUUGACUUACCCUAAUACAGACAGCUCUUCUUAGUGGCAGCAGCCUCUCCCUUCCUCCCUCCCUUCUCUCCUUUCCUUUUCCCCUGGUGGGCGUGAGUGAGGUGUGUGCAGCACAGACAGGUGCAGGCAAUUGGUAAUCACCAGACUCUCCAACCUCUGCCAUAAAACCAGAUCGCAGCCACAACUCAGAUCUAGAAUGCUGUAAAAACACAGUUAGUGAAAUGAAUUUUGAUCAAACUUGCUGCCUUUUUUGUUCUACCCUGGAUGCUGAUCCUUUGUUUGUUUGUUUGUUUGUUUUUUAUUAAAGUUUCCAGCCCAUCCUUCCUGCUUCAUUCUGCUCACCUGCUGGACUUCUAAAUCACUCAGCCAUGCCACACGCAUCCUCAGCCUGCCGUCCCUUACCCUCUCCCUAAACUGAUCCUGCACUAAGACUCUCUACUUGCUCUCUGGGUCGGUUUGUUGAAGCCAAGUUAAUUAUUUGUUUUGUAGAGUGUUUUGUUUUCUUUUCAGCUUGUUUCCUGGUUAUUUAAUUUUCUGAAUUUGGUUUUUUAUCUGG
Molecule: non-coding RNA, 2929 nt
Organism: Xyrichtys novacula (pearly razorfish)
Lineage: Eukaryota; Metazoa; Chordata; Actinopteri; Labriformes; Labridae
Source: the annotation of a GenBank genome assembly